RNAcentral lists this ribosomal RNA (501 nucleotides) under uncultured Sphingobacteriales bacterium. RNAcentral's name for it is "bacterial SSU rRNA". It matches the Rfam family "Bacterial small subunit ribosomal RNA", at positions 903 to 1382 of the family's 1533-position model. Lineage: Bacteria; Pseudomonadati; Bacteroidota; Sphingobacteriia; Sphingobacteriales. The record is from RNAcentral.
GCCACGCCGCCUCAGAAACUUAAAUAGAAUUGACGGGGGCCCGCACAAGCGGUGGAGCAUGUGGUUUUAAUUCGAUGAUACGCGAGGAACCUUACCGUGGGCUCAAAUGUAUGUUGACGUAUUCUGAAAGGGAUACUUCUUCGGACAAUAUACAAGGUGCUGCAUGGUUGUCGUCAGCUCGUGCCGUGAGGUGUCGGGUUAAGUCCCAUAACGAGCGCAACCCCUAUCAUUAGUUGCCAUCAGGUCAAGCUGGGGACUCUAAUGAAACUGCCUACGCAAGUAGUGAGGAAGGUGGGGAUGACGUCAAAUCAGCACGGCCCUUACGUCCAGGGCUACACACGUGCUACAAUGGCCGGUACAACGGGCAGCGAAGGAGCGAUCCGGAGCGAAUCCUAAAAAGCCGGUCCCAGUUCGGAUUGCAGGCUGAAACUCGCCUACAUGAAGUUGGAGUUGCUAGUAAUCGCGAAUCAGAAUGUCGCGGUGAAUGCGUUCCCGGGUCUU